GACGAACGCUGGCGGCGUGCUUAACACAUGCAAGUCGAACGGAAAGGCCCUGCUUUUGUGGGGUGCUCGAGGGGCGAACGGGUGAGUAACACGUGAGUAACCUGCCCUUGACUUUGGGAUAACUUCAGGGAACUGGGGCUAAUACCGGAUAGGAGCUCCUGCUGCAUGGUGGGGGUUGGAAAGUUUCGGCGGUUGGGGAUGGACGCGCGGCUUAUCAGCUUGUUGGUGGGGUAGUGGCUUACCAAGGCUUUGACGGGUAGCCGGCCUGAGAGGGUGAACGGCCACCUUGGGCCUGAGAUACGGCCCAGACUCCUACGGGGGGCAGCAGUGGGGAAUAUUGCACAGUGGGCGGAAGCCUGAUGCAGCAACGCCGCGUGCGGGAUGACGGCCUUCGGGUUGUAAACCGCUUUCGCCUGUGACGAAGCGUGAGUGACGGUAAUGGGUAAAGAAGCACCGGCUAACUACGUG
This 468-nucleotide ribosomal RNA is filed under the name uncultured bacterium. RNAcentral describes it as "partial 16S ribosomal RNA". It matches the Rfam family "Bacterial small subunit ribosomal RNA", at positions 28 to 507 of the family's 1533-position model. The record is from RNAcentral.